AAUGAAGUGAGGAUGAGAGGGGAGGAUGGGAGGGAGGAGUAACAAAAUUGAAAACAAAAGCUUGAAAGUGAAAACAAUUUCGAAUAGAUUUCAGUUUUUAAAUUUUGUUUUCCCUUUUGUUACUCCUCAUGCCCAUCUUCCCCUCUCAUCUUCCCUCUCAAU
RNAcentral lists this microRNA precursor (162 nucleotides) under Prunus dulcis (almond). RNAcentral's name for it is "sRNA ncRNA". Lineage: Eukaryota; Viridiplantae; Streptophyta; Magnoliopsida; Rosales; Rosaceae. The record is from RNAcentral.